Long non-coding RNA from Carya illinoinensis, 718 nucleotides. RefSeq lists it as uncharacterized. The record is from RefSeq and is a predicted model, not a curated record. The transcript has 3 exons. Lineage: Eukaryota; Viridiplantae; Streptophyta; Magnoliopsida; Fagales; Juglandaceae.
GCGAGCUUGUUGGCAGGGUGGACCUUGGAGUUGCAGCCCAAGCAGAGGAAGGCGGAGUCGGCUCGGCAGAAGAGCGUGGCAGUGGCCGAUUGGCACGAGUCGCAUAGCUUCGAGGCCAUAACCCAACCCCACACUCUGUACGAGGGUCUAUCAUGUGGGGCCAGCGAGAUCUAUUGCGUAGCCAAUUCGAAAACGACACCUGCAGAAUGCUUAGCCAAAUAAGUAGAUUACACAGAGUUGGGACAACUUGGCAUGGUGUCCGCGAAGAAAGUAUGCUUUUAAAGCAGGGUAGAUCACGGCUCAGUGUCGUUUUUUUAGAGCACCGGAAAUGGCUCCAUUGCAGAAUUUGGUUCGAAGUGGUAGCAAACAACUUGACAUGAUUGUGAAGACAACUGCAAUACUUAGUUCAUAAUCAACUACAAAAGUGUGAAGUAAACAAAAGACCGCAAAUGUAGGAUAAGUGAAUACAAGAACAUCAUGCGGUGCAUAAUGCAGCGGAAGAUAUUAGAUGAAGAAAAAAAAAAAUUGAGAAACUCCUAAUUAUACUGGAUGGCGAGUGCCACUUCUAGUAUCAAUGAGAAGAAAAGAGGAAAGUAGCAGUUCUGGAUGUUCAUUUUCUUUAUUUCAGCAUCAAAGAAUGUUUGCGCAUAUAGAUUAAUAUAAAAUUAAUCAUAACAGACAUUAAAUCUCACUUGCAUUUGGCAAUGGCCCAUUACCA